RNAcentral lists this unclassified non-coding RNA (217 nucleotides) under Hevea brasiliensis (rubber tree). Lineage: Eukaryota; Viridiplantae; Streptophyta; Magnoliopsida; Malpighiales; Euphorbiaceae. The record is from RNAcentral.
AUAAAGAUGCUAUAUUUUUGGAACCCUUUGCUUGAUGGCCCUACUUAGGGAAUCAAGGUCAAUAAUAUUAUCAAUGGAUAGAGUGCUAUACUUUCCCUUGGCCGCUGACUGACUUGUAAAGAAUAAUUUGAAUGAUUGUCCCUUUUGCUGCUACAUUCCUUACUAGUCUCCUUUCAUUUAUAGACCUAUGAACGAGCUUGCAUUAAGAAAUGGCUUG